GGGGAUUUAGCUCAGCGGCAUAAGCGCCUGUCUUGCAAGCAGGCAGUUGUGAGUUCGAUCCUCCCCGGUACCG
This 73-nucleotide transfer RNA is filed under the name Cavia porcellus (domestic guinea pig). It matches the Rfam family "tRNA". From Rfam's summary of the family: Transfer RNA (tRNA) molecules are approximately 80 nucleotides in length. Their secondary structure includes four short double-helical elements and three loops (D, anti-codon, and T loops). The record is from Rfam by way of RNAcentral. Lineage: Eukaryota; Metazoa; Chordata; Mammalia; Rodentia; Caviidae.